AGGGUUUGAUCAUGGCUCAGGAUGAACGCUGGCGGCGUGCUUAACACAUGCAAGUCGAACGAACCUUCGGGUUAGUGGCGGACGGGUGAGUAACGCGUGAGAAUCUGCCCUCAGGAGGGGGAUAACGGUUGGAAACGACCGCUAAUACCCCAUAUGCCUAUUGGUGAAAUGAAUUUCGCCUGAGGAUGAGCUCGCGUCUGAUUAGCUAGUUGGUGAGGUAAUGGCUCACCAAGGCAUCGAUCAGUAGCUGGUCUGAGAGGAUGAUCAGCCACACUGGGACUGAGACACGGCCCAGACUCCUACGGGAGGCAGCAGUGGGGAAUUUUCCGCAAUGGGCGAAAGCCUGACGGAGCAACGCCGCGUGAGGGACGAAGGCCUCUGGGCUGUAAACCUCUUUUCUCAAGGAAGAAGAUAUGACGGUACUUGAGGAAUAAGCCACGGCUAAUUCCGUGCCAGCAGCCGCGGUAAUACGGGAGUGGCAAGCGUUAUCCGGAAUUAUUGGGCGUAAAGCGUCCGCAGGCGGCUUUUCAAGUCUGCUGUUAAAGCGUGGAGCUUAACUCCAUCAUGGCAGUGGAAACUGAAAGGCUUGAGUAUGGUAGGGGCAGAGGGAAUUCCCGGUGUAGCGGUGAAAUGCGUAGAUAUCGGGAAGAACACCAGUGGCGAAGGCGCUCUGCUGGGCCAUUACUGACGCUCAUGGACGAAAGCCAGGGGAGCGAAAGGGAUUAGAUACCCCUGUAGUCCUGGCCGUAAACGAUGAACACUAGGUGUCGGGGGAAUCGACCCCUUCGGUGUCGUAGCUAACGCGUUAAGUGUUCCGCCUGGGGAGUACGCACGCAAGUGUGAAACUCAAAGGAAUUGACGGGGGCCCGCACAAGCGGUGGAGUAUGUGGUUUAAUUCGAUGCAACGCGAAGAACCUUACCAGGGUUUGACAUCCUGCGAACCUCUUAGAAAUUUGAGGGUGCCUUCGGGAAUGCAGUGACAGGUGGUGCAUGGCUGUCGUCAGCUCGUGUCGUGAGAUGUUGGGUUAAGUCCCGCAACGAGCGCAACCCACGUUUUUAGUUGCCAGCAUUAAGUUGGGCACUCUAGAAAGACCGCCGGUGAUAAACCGGAGGAAGGUGUGGAUGACGUCAAGUCAUCAUGCCCCUUACACCCUGGGCUACACACGUACUACAAUGCUACGGACAAAGGGCAGCAAACUCGCGAGAGCUAGCAAAUCCCAUAAACCGUGGCUCAGUUCAGAUCGUAGGCUGCAACUCGCCUACGUGAAGUAGGAAUCGCUAGUAAUCGCAGGUCAGCAUACUGCGGUGAAUACGUUCCCGGGCCUUGUACACACCGCCCGUCACACCAUGGAAGUUGGCCAUGCCCGAAGUCGUUACUCCAACCCUUGUGGAGGAGGACGCCGAAGGUGGGGCUAAUGACUGGGGUGAAGUCAUAACAAGGUAACCGUA
Molecule: ribosomal RNA, 1449 nt
Filed under: uncultured bacterium
Lineage: Bacteria
Description: bacterial SSU rRNA
Rfam family: Bacterial small subunit ribosomal RNA
Source: RNAcentral